This 416-nucleotide ribosomal RNA is filed under the name Bacillota bacterium. Its description in RNAcentral is "Firmicutes bacterium partial 16S ribosomal RNA". It matches the Rfam family "Bacterial small subunit ribosomal RNA", at positions 355 to 776 of the family's 1533-position model. Lineage: Bacteria; Bacillati; Bacillota. The record is from RNAcentral.
UGGGGAAUCUUGCGCAAUGGGCGAAAGCCUGACGCAGCGACGCCGCGUGGGGGAUGAAGCUUUUCGGAGUGUAAACCCCUUUCGACUGGGAAGAAUGCCCGCAAGGGAGCGACGGUACCAGUAGAAGAAGCCCCGGCUAACUACGUGCCAGCAGCCGCGGUAAGACGUAGGGGGCCAGCGUUGUUCGGAAUUACUGGGUGUAAAGGGUUCGUAGGCGGUGCGGCAAGUUGGGAGUGAAAUCUCUGGGCUUAACCCAGGGGCUGCUUCCAAAACUGCUGUGCUUGAGUGUGAGAGAGGCUCGUGGAAUUGCAGGUGUAGCGGUGAAAUGCGUAGAUAUCUGCAGGAACACCCGUGGCGAAAGCGGCGAGCUGGAUCACAACUGACGCUGAGGAACGAAAGCUAGGGGAGCAAACAGG